GGGUACGUAGCUCAGUUGGCAGAGCAGCGGAUUGUGGUUCCGCUUGUCACGGGUUCGAAUCCCGUCGUACCCCCCA
This is a transfer RNA of 76 nucleotides. It matches the Rfam family "tRNA". Rfam says of the family: Transfer RNA (tRNA) molecules are approximately 80 nucleotides in length. Their secondary structure includes four short double-helical elements and three loops (D, anti-codon, and T loops).